GGCAAACUUUUAAAAUGAAUAAUAAGGUACCAACAACCAUUAACCUAGCUACCUGGCUGAGUGAAGUGGCUCAGAGCAUUUGGCUCUGCAUGGAUUAGUGGAAUGCUGGUAAAUGUUUAACAAAUGGCUUUCAGAAAAAUAAAUUACACAUAAUAUAUCUUUAAGUUUAAUCUGUAUAAUCCAUAUUUUCUCCAUCACUUUAAAACAAGACAGUCAACAAAAUAAUAAACUAAGCCCUUAUUCAUAGUACUACCCAUUUGGUAUAAAUGCUCAAAUUGGAAUUUUCCUAUUGGCUCUCUGGAGCCACAGUCCUAAACACAGCUCCUCCUGUCAGGGAUGACCUUCUAACCAUUGAAUAAUUAAAAAAAAGAACCUUAGCAGAUCUCAGUAGAGCAUUGGCCUUGAAGAAGGUAGGUGGCUGGAGCCCAGAAGCUAGCAGCAGACAGUGCAUUAGUGAUCACAUGUCUAUCAGAGAUGAUGCAAUGAAGAUGAUGGAAGCAGUAGUGAUGACAGGGUGUAUAUACCCAGUGGCCAGCAGAGAGCAGUGAUUAUGUUAGAAGAAAUCCACAACUCCUCAGGGUUGAGGAUGCAGGUUGUUCUGUUUCCUGUGGAUGUCUCUUGGCCACAGGGGGUCCAUAUGUGUAUGGCCUUCUCAGAUGCCUCUUAUCUACCCAUUUUUGCUCUUCAGAUUCCUAAAGGAACAAGUUGGAAAACUGCCUGAUGAUUCUCCCUGCGACUUUGGGAGAGCCCAGAUGCAUUCAGCUUUAUGUUCCCUAAAUUUGUGUUAGAGAUGAACCAGCAUGUACAUGUGGACUUGAAAUCCUUCAAAAAGAAGCUGCAUAACCCCCUAUUGGAUAUUGUUGAGGACUCAUAAUUUGUAUGGGGGUCAAGUGAGAUCUCAUGGAUUUGAACCAUGCAAUUCUAUGACUUUAUGAACCCAUAAAGAAACACAAACUAAAAGCCACUCAGUUUUUGAUUAUUUUUAAUAUAUUGGCUUCAAAUUCUUCCCAAAAGGAAUUUCUUAAGGGGGAGGGAAGACACAGAGCUUUUGGAGCUACUAUCAAGACAAAGGAGUUUUAUGAACUGGGAAGUGGCAUAGUCAUUUAUGUAAGCAAAAAUUUUUAUUUUGCCUCACAUUCACUUCUUUAUGGUUUAGAUGAGAAUUUUCCUCCUUGUCAUAACUUAUACUUUAGCAAUAAAUCAUGUUUUUCUCAAAUUGUAUC
Molecule: long non-coding RNA, 1223 nt
Filed under: Monodelphis domestica (gray short-tailed opossum)
Lineage: Eukaryota; Metazoa; Chordata; Mammalia; Didelphimorphia; Didelphidae
Description: lncRNA (ENSMODG00000030404.2)
Source: RNAcentral